CCUACGGGAGGCUGCAGUGGGGAAUAUUGGACAAUGGGGGGAACCCUGAUCCAGCCAUGCCGCGUGUGUGAAGAAGGCCCUCGGGUUGUAAAGCACUUUCAGUGAGGAAGAACGCCUGGUGGUUAAUACCCAUCAGGAAAGACAUCACUCACAGAAGAAGCACCGGCUAACUCCGUGCCAGCAGCCGCGGUAAUACGGAGGGUGCGAGCGUUAAUCGGAAUUACUGGGCGUAAAGCGCGCGUAGGUGGCUUGAUAAGCCGGUUGUGAAAGCCCCGGGCUCAACCUGGGAACGGCAUCCGGAACUGUCAAGCUAGAGUGCAGGAGAGGAAGGUAGAAUUCCCGGUGUAGCGGUGAAAUGCGUAGAGAUCGGGAGGAAUACCAGUGGCGAAGGCGGCCUUCUGGACUGACACUGACACUGAGGUGCGAAAGCGUGGGUAGCAAACAGGAUUAGAUACCCCUGUAGUU
This 465-nucleotide ribosomal RNA is filed under the name Vreelandella stevensii. RNAcentral describes it as "partial 16S ribosomal RNA". It matches the Rfam family "Bacterial small subunit ribosomal RNA", at positions 338 to 795 of the family's 1533-position model. Lineage: Bacteria; Pseudomonadati; Pseudomonadota; Gammaproteobacteria; Oceanospirillales; Halomonadaceae. The record is from RNAcentral.